AGGCCUUAGAAGUCCUUUUGGCUAAGAUCAAAGUGCAGUAUCUGUUCUUAUCAGCUUAAUCUCCGGUACAGCUUCCAAGGCGAGAUUAAACUGAUUUUUGGAAAAUUGUCCUCCUUGCUCUGUCAGAAUAUAAGCCCAAUUUUUACCUACUUGCCAUUCCAGAAUAGAAACCUGACU
This 177-nucleotide small nuclear RNA is filed under the name Rhodnius prolixus. RNAcentral's name for it is "U2 spliceosomal RNA". It matches the Rfam family "U2 spliceosomal RNA". From Rfam's summary of the family: U2 is a small nuclear RNA (snRNA) component of the spliceosome (involved in pre-mRNA splicing). Complementary binding between U2 snRNA (in an area lying towards the 5' end but 3' to hairpin I) and the branchpoint sequence (BPS) of the intron results the bulging out of an unpaired adenosine, on the BPS, which initiates a nucleophilic attack at the intronic 5' splice site, thus starting the first of two transesterification reactions that mediate splicing. Lineage: Eukaryota; Metazoa; Arthropoda; Insecta; Hemiptera; Reduviidae. The record is from Rfam by way of RNAcentral.